UGGCGCACGGGUGACGUAACGCGUUAGCACUACUAUAACUGAGGGAACACCCGAGAAUCGGGGCUAAUACGCAUAACAUCAUGAAGUGGCAUCACUUUAUGAUCAAACCUCAGGGGGUUAUAGAUGGGCAUGCGUGACAUUAGCUAGUUGGUGAGGUAACGGUCACCAAGGUACGAUGUCUAGGGGUCUGAAGGAUGAUCCCCCAAUGGUACUGAACGGACCAGACUCCUACGGGAGGCAGCAGUGGCGGAAUAUUGGACAAUGGGCGCAAGCCUGAUCCAGCAAUGCCGGUGUGUGAAGAAGGCCUUCGGGUUGUAAAGCACUUUUAUCGGGAGCGAAAAGCGCAGGGUUAAAUAACACCAUGCGUCCAUGACGGUACCCUGAUCGAAUUAAGCCACCGGUUAAACUUACGUGCCAGANCGGCGGGUAAUACCGAACGGGGCGCAAAGCGGUCAUCGGGAUUUCACUGGGCGUAAAAAGCGUGGCGAAAAGGGUCGGGACCAAAGAAAAAUCCCCGNCAUGGUCGAAAGGCCAUCGGGGUUCCACAACCCUACAGGGGAACUCGGGAUCAGNGGNCAUCCCCUAGCAACACGGGUAGGA
Molecule: ribosomal RNA, 600 nt
Filed under: uncultured bacterium
Lineage: Bacteria
Description: bacterial SSU rRNA
Rfam family: Bacterial small subunit ribosomal RNA (bases 1-444)
Source: RNAcentral